AGGCAAAGCCGGGAGAAACUGCUGAGACGAGUGAUGGCUACAGGGAUCCAGGCGUGUUUGCCUCCUGGAAAUGUGCAGAAAAAUCCGUGACCCAUCUGAACCCACGUGGAGAAAACUGGAGGAGGAGUGAACUCAGGAUGGAUGAAUAAUGCCAAAGAUAAACACGUAAUAAAUAGGGCCAGCUCCCGCCGAGGCUCCAGGACCGCCAUGCCCCGCUCUUUGAUGUCCCUGGGCAGAGGCAGACAGGAAGGGCCAGCUUCCAGAGAGCCAAAUACCACCCCCUGCCUGGUCUGGACCAGCAAAGUGCCUAGGGACAAUCUCUGAGCCUCUCCCGUGGAUCCAUGGCCACAGUUUCCCCGUCUCUGCAAAUGACCGAGAGAGGCUGGAGGGACGAUUUGACGAGAUGCUGUCCCUGCUCCAGCUCAGGGCAGCUCCAGCAUCAUUUGACCUGUGCACCUUCUACCCCAUCAGAGGUUCCAGCCCGAGCCCUGCAGGGGCCUGGAGUCACAGGAAGAGGGGCACAAUUUCCCAGCAGCCCCAUUGGAGGAACACAGCGAAGUUGUUGGAUGUCCAGGGCACCCUGGCAAGUGGUCCUCUACCCACAGAGCCAGUGAGCCCCCAAAACGUCAUCGUCUCCCCUGGGAACCACUGCCCACAGGUUGCACAUGGCCAUCCUGCUUCCUCACCUCCCAUUGCCCGUAGCUACCCUGCCUCCACCGGGAAUUGCACAUCUGCCCAUCUGUCCACCUUACCUGCCAUCAUCCGUCUCCCGCCCAGAAUCCACACCAGUCUCUUCCAGGAGCCCCUCCAGGAUGGCCCCCAGCGAUCCCCAUUCCAUAAAGGGCCCUGCAGUUCUGGUGAAGUGUCACCCCAGCUCACGAUGACCCAGUAGCUCCAAUGGCCCUUAUGAAGCAGCUCCUUUCCUUGGUUUUGAAGGCUCCUGAUGCUGGGUUCCUGGCCACCUUCUGACUCCCAGCCUGAACCUCGGCUCCGACCAGAUCAGCAACUUUCUGGACCUCUGUGCCCUUGAACAGACAUGCUGUUCAGAGGACUGGAAUUCUCUUCUUCUUCUUCUUUUUUUAGGGCUGCACCUAUGGCAUAUGGAAGUUCCCGGGCUAGGGGUCAAAUCAAAGCUGCAGCUGCCAGCCUACGCCACAGUCACAGCAAUGCCAGAUCCUUAACCCACUGAGCAAGGUCAGGGAUUGAACCCGAAUCUUCAUGGAUACUAGUCGGGUCCUUUAUCACUGAGGCACAGUGGGAACUCCUGGAAUUCUCUUCUAUGUCAUCGGGUCAUGUUCAUUCUUUGGGACUCAUCUGGGGCUUCCUCUCCUCCAGGGGGGUGUUCCUGGCCCCUAUGCCAGGGUCUGUCUGUCUGUCUGUCUGUGUGGACUGUCUGGGAGGGGCCAUGUGUCUCAUUUGUCUCUCAUCCUCCAGCCUGACUCAAGCUCUGCCUGAGAGGUGGGGUCACUGGUGCUGGUGGAGGACGGCUCGGUCCUAUUGCAUCCCACCCCUGCUCCAGCCUCAUGCCCCAGUCUCCCUGGGGCCCAUCUGCCUUUCCCUCUGUGCUCUCUGUGGGCCCCUGAUUUGAAGUCCUGCCCUCUGGGUCCCCAGCCUGCCUGUGCCUUCUCGUGGGGCAGAGCCUCAGUUCUCCCAUCUACAAAAUGGAAAGAACCUUAGCACGACGGUCCUGGGGCUGUUGGAAGGAUGAAGUGAAGGGUGAUUGUCAUGUCCUUGAAUGUCACAGGAGUAGAGUAGAGGUUACCCAUCACUGUCGCUGCUGUGGUCCUUGUUCUGUUGUCCCACUGGCCUGUGGUAAUUGCCUCCUGGCCUGGGUCUAGGUCUCCUAUCACUGGAGCCCUCUGCUCCCAGCUGCCCCCCAACUGGAGCCAUUUUGUUUUCACCUGGAACAUUCAGUGGCUCACCAUUGCCUCCCCCAGGAAGUAAAAACUCCAGCUCAUUUUCAAAGCCUCAUCAAUUGGUUUUCUGGACAUAGUGGCCCCAAGAAAGACCUUAAAGGAGAGAGAGGCUUCAUCCCCGCUGGCCCCUGCCCCACUCCCUAUAGGGAGCUGGGUGAUGGGUCUUCCCAGGGCUUCUGGCUCCCUCUGCAUCCUCACCAGUGCCUUGUGGCUGGUCCCCUCCCAGGGGCAUGGGGGACGGGGACGCUGGGUGCAGAGCCCUGGAGCCCCCACAGCUCUGCUCAUAGGCUCUGGAGUGAGGCCAGAAUCCACACGGAUCCUCGUCUCUGCAGGUCCCUGUCUUUCGAGGCUGAAUAUUACCCUGAUUGCGUUGUAGGGAAAAGAAGAGAACAUUUGUUCUUUUUUAAAAAAGAAUAACAUUUUUCUCUAUUUACAAAAGUAAUACAUGCUAACUGUGGAUAAUUUCGAAAUUAAGAUAAACCAAAGAGAAAAUUUGAAAUGCUCGCUCAUUCAUCCCUCAUUGGUAGCACUUGUUGAGCGCCUGAGCCUCUAGCCUCCAGGCUUUGUACCGGGCGUGCAGCAGCAACUCUACUUUGAGCCCAGCAAGAGGAACGCAGGACUCCGUGGUUUGCAACCUAGGUGCUUCCUUUCACCAGCAAAACGCAACCUUCUCUGCCACCCCAAGGCCUCCAUCCUCUGGUACCCAGAGUGGAGUGCCCCCCAGGGCAGCUGUUAGAAGCGCAGCAUCUCAGGAGUACCCUGGUGGCUCAGCGAGGGAAGGACCCGGCAUUGCCACUGCUUUGGCUCGGUGUGCUGCUAUGGCGUGGGUUCGAUCCCUGGCCCUGGAACUUCUGCACACCAUAGGAGCAACCAAAAAAAAAAAAAAAAAAGGGCAGUUUCUCAGCCCUGGGUCCCAGAAUCUCUGCAUUUCCUCAGGAUUCCCAGGAGGUUUCUAGGCACAGAUACAAGCCCAAAGCCCCCUUUCCAACAGCAGCUGAGUGCCAUGGUGUGGGUACAUCAUAAAUAGGGGCGCAGCGAUGGCAUGGCGGUAGUCAAAACACUGGGCGCCCUGUGGCUGCUUUCCAGGAUCGAGUACGAAGGAGUUUCCCUAAACUCUGCUUCCCCCACUGUCACUCCCCUUCCCUCCAGAACAUUCUGGGAGGAUAGGGACCAUUGUCAUCCCCAUUCUGCAGGUGAAUGAACUACGACUCUCUCCACGGUCCCAUAAAUAGUGGGGACCUAACCUGGCCUGGCCAGGCCCUUCCCUCUACGCCUGGCCUACUGGCCUUUGCUGUAAGUGAGUUUUUUGUCCAGAGAAUCAGCUCCUGUAGCCACAGUGUGGGUCUCACACCCGCCCCAGGCUGAGCGCAUGGCACUUUCUGGCUGGCCCUGAACCUGCCCGGUGGGACCAGUUUGCCCCGGUGACAGAUGAGGUGUGACAGCACCAGGCUGGCCUGGGUGGUUGGGGCAGCCUCACUCCACUGUGGGAACCUUGAGGGGGUGGUGGGCGGGGCUUCAGGAGCUGAUGGAAAUGGUGGAGGGGCUUCCAGGUCCAUGCGGAGUGGGGCUUGGGCCGGAAGAGAGGAGGGGCUGGAAAGGACACUGGCGGGAGGUCUUCCCCCGCAGUGGCAGGAAGCACGGGCAUGUCAGCGUGAAUCCUUCUGGGGGAAACCCUUGGCGGGGAGGAGAAUGCGGUGAUGGCAGCAGAUUCUAUUAAAAGCAACUCUCAUUACCGUACCGUUAAUUAUUAAUAGGAUGGGGCAUAUAAAAGAUGAGAAGACCCAGCUGGGCCAGACUCAAAUCUUGCCUCCGUAGCAAAUGGCUUUUGGUUCCCAUCCAGGAGGCCCAGUCAUGAAUGUAUCUGUUGGUUAUGCCAAACCAAGGCUGCCACGGCGGGACACAUACCACAUAUCUGCUUCAAAAAGAUAAAGGAAGGGAGCCCAGAGGAGGCCAACACGGGCCUCUGCCCAUUCUCCCAAGCUUAGCUUUUAGGCCUAGGUGAGCUGGGGGUCUUUCCUACAGACUCCAUCCUCCUCUGAGCACUGCCCAGACCUGGGGCUAUUAAGCCUCUAAGGAAAUCCAGAGAGGAACUUUCUCCAUGUAGCAGCAGAAACUAGUGAGAACAAGACCAAGAGAGAGAGAGAGAGAGACUUCACUCUUCUUUUGGCUCUCACCUGUCUUAUCUACACCGAACUCCUAUCCACCCCUCAGAGCCCAGCUCAGAUGGCCCGUCCUUCAGGCAGCCCCACUCAUGCAGCCUGUGCUAACAACCCAGGAUCCAGACACUGUCCCUGCCCUUGUGGGGGCUCCCAAUCUGACAGGCGUCCAGCCAGGUGACUCAUCAAAUAAUCAUCACAAACCGUGGUGACAAACAGCCAUGCUCUAAGGCAGGGAGGCGGAGACUGAGCACCAUGUGGGCAGGAAUCCUGGUGGUUCUAUCUUUCUCUCCUCUAGACUACCUGGUGCCUGGAGCAAAAGUAGGUUCUCGAUAAAUGUGCCUGAUUUCACAAACUGCUAAUGUGGGAGCCCCAAAACAAGCUCUUUGAGAUGAAGCGAUCCCUCGGGAAGUCGGCUUCGCACAGCAGAAGGAAGAAGGGGUGGGGCCUGGGGCUUUGCCCUAUUCCUCCACCUUAGCCGAACUGUCUCAGAUCAGUAGCUCAUUUAUCCUGACAAGCAGCGAAGGCCCUCCUUUUUUUUUUUUUUUUUUUUUUUUAAUAUAUGUGAAUGAGGGAGUUCCCCUCAUGGAGCAGUGGUUAAUGAAUCCGACCAGGAACCAUGAGGUUGCGGGUUCGGUCCCUGCCCUUGCUCAGUGGGUUAACGAUCCGGCAUUGCUGUGAGCUGUGGUGUAGGUUGCAGACACGGCUCAGAUCCCACGUUGCUGUGGCUCUGGCGUAGGCUGGUGGCUACAGCUCCGAUUCAACCCCCUAGCCUGGGAACCUCCAUAUGCCGUGGGAGUGGCCCAAAGAAAUAGCAAAAAGACAAAAUAAAUAAAUAAAUAAA
This 4916-nucleotide long non-coding RNA is filed under the name Sus scrofa (pig). RNAcentral's name for it is "lncRNA (ENSSSCG00040051193.1)". Lineage: Eukaryota; Metazoa; Chordata; Mammalia; Artiodactyla; Suidae. The record is from RNAcentral.